Molecule: long non-coding RNA, 393 nt
Organism: Cyprinus carpio carpio
Lineage: Eukaryota; Metazoa; Chordata; Actinopteri; Cypriniformes; Cyprinidae
Source: Ensembl
CUGUUCUGGCUAACUUCACUCACACUAGACCGCACAUGUGUGUGUCUCCAGGGCUGACUGCAGCCUGCCAUCUGUGCACAACCAGAAGCAUGAGCUCUCCAGAGAUCAGAGUGAGACGGUGGAAACCGCUGCAGCAGUAGCAGGAUCGCAUGUGUCUACCCAGUUCCCCCUCCUGCCGCAGGAGUCUUUGUGGAGCCCGUCAGUCAGGUCAUCAGAGAGACAUUCAGCACAGACACGGAGCAGAAGAUUUAUAGCUGUGAGGUGAGAGCAGGUGAGACAAAAGGGAGCAUUUUUCAGUUGCUGCUGUGCCAGUCAUCAGAGGGUCAGAUCUCAUUAGCCGUCUGAUUUAUGGAGACUGAGGAAGGGACACCAAACUGAGGGAUUGGUAACUUG